Molecule: long non-coding RNA, 266 nt
Organism: Hippocampus comes (tiger tail seahorse)
Lineage: Eukaryota; Metazoa; Chordata; Actinopteri; Syngnathiformes; Syngnathidae
Exons: 2
Source: RefSeq, a predicted model, not a curated record
UUGUCCCUUGCCACGACGAUUGAAAGCGUGGCGAGCUUCACCAGCUCCCCGAGAACCGCCGGCUUCAAUGCGUGGGAUGAUGGGCAGUCAGAGUAGUCCUGUCAAGAGUUACGACUAUCUCCUUAAAUUCCUCUUGGUGGGAGACAGUGACGUCGGGAAGGGAGAAAUCCUGGAAAGUUUACAGGACGGCUCGGUAGAGUCUCCCUAUGCUUACACUAGUGGAAUAGAUUACAAGACAACAACAAUACUACUGGAUGGAAGAAGAG